CAACCCUCGAACCCCUCCGGGGGGUCGGCGUUGGGGACCUCGGGAGCCCCUAAGACGGGAUCCCGGCCCCGAAAUACAGUGGCGGUCUCGCCGCAGCCUCUCCUGCGCAGUAGUUUGCACAACUCGCACCGGGAGCGCGGCGCGUCCACGUCCGUAAAACACCCAACUUUCUGAAA
RNAcentral lists this unclassified non-coding RNA (176 nucleotides) under uncultured Trichoderma. RNAcentral describes it as "sequence contains ITS2". Lineage: Eukaryota; Fungi; Ascomycota; Sordariomycetes; Hypocreales; Hypocreaceae. The record is from RNAcentral.